GACCCAGUAGUGAAAUAAAUCGCACCGGCGCAGCAUGUAGGUCAUUGCUAUAAGCUUUAAAGCCGGAGAUCCUGGUUCGAAUCCAGGCUGGGUCA
This is a non-coding RNA of Mycena galericulata, 95 nucleotides long. The record is from the annotation of a GenBank genome assembly. Lineage: Eukaryota; Fungi; Basidiomycota; Agaricomycetes; Agaricales; Mycenaceae.